UGAGGAAUAUUGGUCAAUGGGCGAGAGCCUGAACCAGCCAAGUAGCGUGCAGGAUGACGGCCCUAUGGGUUGUAAACUGCUUUUAUGCGGGGAUAAAGUGGGGAACGUGUUCCCUUUUGCAGGUACCAUAUGAAUAAGGACCGGCUAAUUCCGUGCCAGCAGCCGCGGUAAUACGGAAGGUUCGGGCGUUAUCCGGAUUUAUUGGGUUUAAAGGGAGCGUAGGCCGUUUGGUAAGCGUGUUGUGAAAUGUAGGAGCUCAACUUCUAGAUUGCAGCGCGAACUGUCAGACUUGAGUGCGCACAACGUAGGCGGAAUUCAUGGUGUAGCGGUGAAAUGCUUAGAUAUCAUGAAGAACUCCGAUUGCGAAGGCAGCUUACGGGAGCGCAACUGACGCUGAAGCUCGAAGGUGCGGGUAUCGAACAGG
Molecule: ribosomal RNA, 424 nt
Filed under: Verrucomicrobiota bacterium
Lineage: Bacteria; Pseudomonadati; Verrucomicrobiota
Description: Verrucomicrobia bacterium partial 16S ribosomal RNA
Rfam family: Bacterial small subunit ribosomal RNA
Source: RNAcentral